GGAGGGGUACCAAAGUGGCCAACUGGGGCAGACUGUAAAUCUGUUGGCGGAUGCCUUCGAAGGUUCGAAUCCUUCCCCCUCCACCA
This 86-nucleotide transfer RNA is filed under the name Bacillota bacterium. RNAcentral's name for it is "Firmicutes bacterium (anaerobic digester metagenome) tRNA-Tyr". It matches the Rfam family "tRNA". Rfam says of the family: Transfer RNA (tRNA) molecules are approximately 80 nucleotides in length. Their secondary structure includes four short double-helical elements and three loops (D, anti-codon, and T loops). Further hydrogen bonds mediate the characteristic L-shaped molecular structure. tRNAs have two regions of fundamental functional importance: the anti-codon, which is responsible for specific mRNA codon recognition, and the 3' end, to which the tRNAs corresponding amino acid is attached (by aminoacyl-tRNA synthetases). tRNAs cope with the degeneracy of the genetic code in two manners: having more than one tRNA (with a specific anti-codon) for a particular amino acid; and 'wobble' base-pairing, i.e. permitting non-standard base-pairing at the 3rd anti-codon position. Lineage: Bacteria; Bacillati; Bacillota. The record is from RNAcentral.